UUGCACCUCACUAAACAGAGCUCGGGCAACUCUUAACUGGGGCACAGGGAAACUGGGCUGCCUGCACAAGAGGACUCCCACUACCAACAGAACCAAGACCAGGCUCUAAUCUAGGUUGGGUUGCCACAAGGAUUCAAAUUCACUCAGCAUUAAAGCAGAGGAAUUCUAGAACCUCUGAACUAAACAGUUUGUUUCUCCUCCCCCCAGACAAGAACUGUCAGACCUUUCCUGCUUAACAGGGAGACAUCUGCUGAUAACAGAUUAUUCAAUGUCACUGCAUGGCUGAUAAGAACUACAGCAUCCCUUUGGGAGAUGGGAGCUCAGAGGGAGGAGCCAAGCAUUCCUACCCAGGUGUAAUCUGGAGAUUCUGGAACACCAGCACAGCUUCUCCACUGGAUUUCCCAGAGGAGCAGCAGCUGCCUCUUCCACUGCAUCUUCAGAGGAAGACUGCACCUUUCUACAGGACCCCUGCUUCAGCAGAACCACCCCUGGCACUGCAGGAGGGCUGCAGCCACAAUUCCAAUGGGACUGCUGCCAGCACCCUGACCCACAGGGUGUCAGGUUGUGUUCUGAUUCUGUCAGUGUUGUUUUGGUUUACUGCAUUGUUUAUUUUAUCUUUUUAUUUUCUCCCCUAAUAAAGAACUGUUAUUCCUGCUCCCA
Haemorhous mexicanus (house finch) is the source of this 660-nucleotide long non-coding RNA. RefSeq lists it as uncharacterized. The transcript has 2 exons. The record is from RefSeq and is a predicted model, not a curated record. Lineage: Eukaryota; Metazoa; Chordata; Aves; Passeriformes; Fringillidae.